AAUUGUCAUGCACUUGAUUUAGGAAAUAAUAUUUUACAUGUGUGGGUGUGGCUGUAUUCCUCUGUGUGUUGGGUUUGAGAGUUCCCGAUCCAAUGUGUGUAGUUGGAGCGCUUGCUAGGAGGUGCAGGCCUUGUGAAGCAUGUUGUGAAGCUUGAAGUUUGGGGCCAUCAGAUAGUGGUUCGUGUAAGGAAGGUUGUAUUUGUGGGUGUUGCCAAUUUGUGCAGCAAAUGUUUUGUGCCGAUCUGCGGAAUUGAGGGUGCUUAACUCAGCUGUUGUGUUGAUUUUAGUCUUGAGGAAGAAGAUACAAGACUAUGCUUAGGGUGUGAAGUCAGGUGAUGAGAACCUCGGAAAACGAUGGUCCGAUAUGGACGCAGUUCCCCCACUACUGGAGUUACCAAAUUCGGGUGAAGAGGUGCAAGCUGGACAACGCAAGAAUCUUGCGAUAGACUGGAUAAGCGAUAUGCAAUGUUCGCCUAGUUCCCCGGAGAUUUGGUUCUCUCUAGACGACUUUGAGGACGUCGGUAUUUAGUCGGUUGCGGAGGCUCAAUCUUCACAGCCUGUCAGCACUCACUCAGAGGGUGAUGCCUUGCAACAGGGUCCGAGGCUCAUGGAGUUUCCUGUUGCUUUGAUGGAGGAGACAUAAUUCGUUGAUGAGGGUUUGGAGUCGGGUGAUGAGAAGCUCGGAAAACGAUGCGUUGAUAUGGACGCAGUUCUUUCAUUACCGGUGUUACCAGAUUCGUUGAACGACAGUUCAUUUGAGUGGUGUUCCCAGAAGUCUUUGCCCUUUCUAACCGGCAUGCCAUCUGAGUUGCUUUCCCGGGAGUCUUUGGACUGUAAUGAUCUUUGAUCCUUCUUAACUUGGGACAAGGCGGUUACCAAGGUAUGUAUUUGUUCUAUGCUUUUAUGAACCAGUUAUGGUAAUGAGAUCAAGUGGAGAUGUGAUCACGAAGUAAUUGUGAAUUGCGGUUGGCUUAGUUGCUAUUCAAGUCAAGGAUUUUGAAUUAUAAUGAAAAAGGCUGGUGUUUGAACUUGACUUGUGAUCUUGGAGUUAGAUAACUUCGAUGUUGAAGCUCAAUCAUUAAUUAUAUUUGUGCAAUUCUUAUCACAUCAUCUUCUAUUUUUGUUAUUUAAGCCAAAAAUGGCACAAUAUGAAAACCUUAGGAGAGAUUUGGGUAUA
This is a non-coding RNA of Physcomitrium patens, 1177 nucleotides long. The record is from RefSeq and is a predicted model, not a curated record. NCBI's taxonomy places the organism in Eukaryota, Viridiplantae, Streptophyta, Bryopsida, Funariales, Funariaceae.